CGAUCAGUAGCUCAGCGGCAGAGCACCGGUCCUACAAACCGCAACGCGGGGGUUCGAGUCCCUCCUGAUCGA
RNAcentral lists this transfer RNA (72 nucleotides) under Trebonia kvetii. It matches the Rfam family "tRNA". Rfam says of the family: Transfer RNA (tRNA) molecules are approximately 80 nucleotides in length. Their secondary structure includes four short double-helical elements and three loops (D, anti-codon, and T loops). Lineage: Bacteria; Bacillati; Actinomycetota; Actinomycetes; Streptosporangiales; Treboniaceae. The record is from Rfam by way of RNAcentral.